GCUAGGAGAUGUUGUUUGUAAACCUUUCGUUUUUUAUCACGCGCGUGAAAAACGCAUCAAAAUGCAUUGCACUCGUGCGGAAAAAAAACUGAACGCAAUUGCAGACAAAACUGACUGAACGUGCCUGCAAAAUGGUGCGGGUUUCACUGAACGUACUCUGAACACAUCCGGAGCCAAUGCGUCACGCUCGUGUGAAAGGGGCCUUAGAGAGCUUUAGCAAAAGAAAUGUUAUGGCUAAACCACAGGAAUUCAGAUCAUCAAUUUUAUUUGGUCCCAUUCAAUAUGUGCACAAAAAAUACAUUACAUUUUUAUUACAUUUGUAAGAAAAGGUUCAGUAAAACUUGUAAUUUAUCCAUUUCCAUCUGCAGCCCUGUGUAGUGUUAUCAGUGACGGACAGCUCUCUCUCUCUAUAUACACACAAUGCUGUCAGUCACCGAUAACACCUUCCUUCUGUACCGAUAGGUAUUCACAGGGCUGCAGAUAUAAAUUAAUAAAAUUACAAGUUUUACUGAACCUUUUCCUACAAAACUAUAUCAAUCUGCUCAGCUCCUCCUGCUCUGUAACAUGGUGCUGUCAGAUUGCAUUGCAUUUUUUGGUGACAGAUCCUCUUUAAAGGGUUUGUUUAGUUUAGACAACUCACUUUCAAAUACCCAAAUAGGGCAUUCUGGUUUAAUAGCAGAGGUCUUCUACUCUGGACCCCCAUCUAUUAGCCAGAGGGAGAGUGGCUACAAAGAGCUCUGAAGGACCCUGCAAUACAUGGAAAGUCCAUUUAUAUACUUCUGUGUGAAUGG
Molecule: long non-coding RNA, 791 nt
Organism: Bufo bufo (common toad)
Lineage: Eukaryota; Metazoa; Chordata; Amphibia; Anura; Bufonidae
Exons: 3
Source: RefSeq, a predicted model, not a curated record